RNAcentral lists this small RNA (555 nucleotides) under Pan troglodytes (chimpanzee). RNAcentral's name for it is "processed transcript". Lineage: Eukaryota; Metazoa; Chordata; Mammalia; Primates; Hominidae. The record is from RNAcentral.
AUUAGAGGUGGUGAUCAGGUCAUUGUUUGUCAGACUUGUUUUUACACUUUGUCAGCUUUCUUGAAAAUCAUCUUGAAGGCUAAUUUAACACUUUGAAUCACUAAGACUGUCCAUCUGAGUUAGAAGAGUGCUAUAGAAAGUUACAUUCAGAUUGAAGUGGACCUUGGUAAAAAGUGCUGGUAUCACUCUAUAUUUGCCUGCCCCAUUCUUCGUCAGCAAACAACAGAUAACAAUCCACCCAUGAAAUUGGUCUGUGGUCAUAUUAUAUCAAGAGAUGCCCUGAAUAAAAUGUUUAAUGGUAGCAAAUUAAAAUGUCCCUACUGUCCAAUGGAACAAAGUCCAGGAGAUGCCAAACAGAUAUUUUUCUGAAGAGAUAACUUUAGCUUGCAAUUUGUAAGUGAAACUGAAUCGUGGGUGCAUUUCAGAAGAGAACGUUCCAUAUAAUGCAGCUAACCAAGGACUCCUGUGUUUCUAUAAGCUAAUGCUCCAGAAACUUUGCCAACCUGUUAGUGUACACACACUGAGGGGAGUGCUCCCAGUGAAUAUUAUCAUAGG